CCUACGGGUGGCAGCAGUGAGGAAUAUUGGUCAAUGGGCGAGAGCCUGAACCAGCCAAGUCGCGUGAGGGAGUACUGCCCUAUGGGUUGUAAACCUCUUUUGUCGGGGAGCAAAAGCCGGACGUGUCCGGCUGUGAGAGUACCCGAAGAAAAAGCAUCGGCUAACUGCGUGCCAGCAGCCGCGGUAAUACGGAGGAUGCGAGCGUUAUCCGGAUUUAUUGGGUUUAAAGGGUGCGCAGGCGGAUUUUUAAGUCAGCGGUAAAAUCGUGGGGCUCAACCCCAUCCAGCCGUUGAAACUGGGGAUCUAGAGUGUGCGAGAGGUAUGCGGAAUGCGUGGUGUAGCGGUGAAAUGCAUAGAUAUCACGCAGAACCCCGAUUGCGAAGGCAGCAUACCGGUGCACAACUGACGCUCAGGCACGAAAGCGUGGGUAUCGAACAGGAUUAGAUACCCUUGUAGUC
RNAcentral lists this ribosomal RNA (458 nucleotides) under uncultured bacterium. RNAcentral's name for it is "partial 16S ribosomal RNA". It matches the Rfam family "Bacterial small subunit ribosomal RNA", at positions 338 to 795 of the family's 1533-position model. The record is from RNAcentral.